RNAcentral lists this unclassified non-coding RNA (400 nucleotides) under uncultured fungus. RNAcentral describes it as "sequence contains ITS1". The stretch from base 1 to 105 matches the Rfam family "5.8S ribosomal RNA", at positions 50 to 154 of the family's 154-position model. The record is from RNAcentral. Lineage: Eukaryota; Fungi.
GAACUGCGAUAAGUGUGGUGAAUCGCAGAACACCGCGAACCAUUAAACCGUUGAACGCACAUUGCGGCCUCCAGUCCGCUGGGGGUCACGCGUCGCUGAGUGUCGGUUCAAACCUAAUGAGAGAAACCGAAAGGCCACUCUCUAUGUGUCAGUGCAGCUUACCACUGCUCUGAUGAAGUGAAGGCAGGCGUCAUAUCGACGUCGAUCAAGGUACCGUAUUUGUGGCAUCAGAGGCUGUAUGGGAUUGGGUAUCAUUGUCUCUUGUUGUCCGAACGGCUCUGCGAUCUGUCGAUGUCUGCUACCCUCACAGUGCUUGCUAUCCUCUGAUAGCACAGUGCGCCAUGUGACCGGAGAGGGCCUCUUCCACUUGUUGGGGGAGAGCUCUCCACCCACUGACCUC